RNAcentral lists this ribosomal RNA (465 nucleotides) under uncultured bacterium. Its description in RNAcentral is "partial 16S ribosomal RNA". It matches the Rfam family "Bacterial small subunit ribosomal RNA", at positions 338 to 795 of the family's 1533-position model. The record is from RNAcentral.
CCUACGGGUGGCAGCAGUGGGGAAUAUUGCGCAAUGGGCGAAAGCCUGACGCAGCGACGCCGCGUGAGGGAUGAAGGUCUUCGGAUCGUAAACCUCUGUCAGCAGGGAAGAACGGUCACUGUGCUAAUCAGCAGUGAAUUGACGGUACCUGCAAAGGAAGCACCGGCUAACUCCGUGCCAGCAGCCGCGGUAAUACGGAGGGUGCUGGCGUUAAUCGGAAUUACUGGGCGUAAAGCGCUCGUAGGCGGUAUGUCAAGUCAAGGGUGAAAUCCCCGCGCUCAACGUGGGAAGUGCCUGUGAAACUGGCAGACUGGAGUUUGUGAGAGGAUAGUGGAAUUCGAGGUGUAGGAGUGAAAUCCGUAGAUAUCUGGAGGAACAUCGGUGGCGAAAGCGACUAUCUGGCACAUAACUGACGCUGAGGAGCGAAAGCGUGGGUAGCAAACAGGAUUAGAUACCCGAGUAGUC